GAUGAACGCUGGCGGCGUGCCUAAUACAUGCAAGUCGAGCGAACAGACGAGGAGCUUGCUCCUCUGACGUUAGCGGCGGACGGGUUAGUAACACGUGGAUAACCUACCUAUAAGACUGGGAUAACUUCGGGAAACCGGAGCUAAUACCGGAUAAUAUAUUGAACCGCAUGGUUCAAUAGUGAAAGACGGUUUUGCUGUCACUUAUAGAUGGAUCCGCGCCGCAUUAGCUAGUUGGUAAGGUAACGGCUUACCAAGGCAACGAUGCGUAGCCGACCUGAGAGGGUGAUCGGCCACACUGGAACUGAGACACGGUCCAGACUCCUACGGGAGGCAGCAGUAGGGAAUCUUCCGCAAUGGGCGAAAGCUUGACGGAGCAACGCCGCGUGAGUGAUGAAGGUCUUCGGAUCGUAAAACUCUGUUAUUAGGGAAGAACAAAUGUGUAAGUAACUAGGCACGUCUUGACGGUACCUAAUCAGAAAGCCACGGCUAACUACGUG
RNAcentral lists this ribosomal RNA (497 nucleotides) under uncultured bacterium. RNAcentral describes it as "partial 16S ribosomal RNA". It matches the Rfam family "Bacterial small subunit ribosomal RNA", at positions 28 to 507 of the family's 1533-position model. The record is from RNAcentral.